RNAcentral lists this long non-coding RNA (226 nucleotides) under Elaeis guineensis (African oil palm). RNAcentral's name for it is "long non-coding RNA (EGUI_LNC029457)". Lineage: Eukaryota; Viridiplantae; Streptophyta; Magnoliopsida; Arecales; Arecaceae. The record is from RNAcentral.
GCGUAAGGAAGAAGAGAUGAUGUAAGAAAGAAGACCCACACAUCUCUCACGUUAAAAGCCUCACGCCCUCUCUUCUUUUUAUCACACCAUAUUUUUUCACACAUGCAAAACCACUUCUUAAUGCCUUAAAAGAUCAAAUCCCAUUUGAUCCUAGGUGUUAAAUCCAAAUCAAAGGGGUAGAAGGGCGUUGAGAUAAGGAUGUAUUGUAAGAAAGAAAUCUCCUCAC